Molecule: small RNA, 573 nt
Filed under: Pan troglodytes (chimpanzee)
Lineage: Eukaryota; Metazoa; Chordata; Mammalia; Primates; Hominidae
Description: retained intron
Source: RNAcentral
AAUCUUCUGCCCUCUCCUCUGCUUCCCCGGCCUCCCCCUUCUGACUCUCCUCUCCCCUCUUUGUAUCCCCCAUCUUGCCUCCCUGCUUCCCACAUCCGACCACCCGACCUCUCUCCUCAGACGUGGACGAAUGUCGCGAGCGAGGCCCAGCCCUGUGCGGGUCGCAGCGCUGUGAGAACUCUCCCGGCUCCUACCGCUGUGUCCGGGACUGCGAUCCUGGGUACCACGCGGGCCCCGAGGGCACCUGUGACGAUGUGGAUGAGUGCCAAGAAUAUGGUCCCGAGAUUUGUGGAGCCCAGCGUUGUGAGAACACCCCUGGCUCCUACCGCUGCACACCAGCCUGUGACCCUGGCUAUCAGCCCACGCCAGGGGGCGGAUGCCAGGAUGUGAACGAGUGUGAAACACUACAGGGUGUAUGUGGAGCUGCCCUGUGUGAAAAUGUCGAAGGCUCCUUCCUCUGUGUCUGCCCCAACAGCCCGGAGGAGUUUGACCCCAUGACUGGACGCUGUGUUCCCCCACGAACUUCUGCUGACGUGGACGAAUGUCAGCUCUUCCGAGACCAGGUGUGCAAGA